AGUGAACGCUGGCGGUAGGCCUAACACAUACAAGUCGAACGGCAGCACAGUAAGAGCUUGCUCUUACGGGUGGCGAGUGGCGGACGGGUGAGGAAUACAUCGGAAUCUACUUUUUCGUGGGGGAUAACGUAGGGAAACUUACGCUAAUACCGCAUACGACCUACGGGUGAAAGCAGGGGAUCUUCGGACCUUGCGCGAUUGAAUGAGCCGAUGUCGGAUUAGCUAGUUGGCGGGGUAAAGGCCCACCAAGGCGACGAUCCGUAGCUGGUCUGAGAGGAUGAUCAGCCACACUGGAAAUGAGACACGGUCCAGACUCCUACGGGAGGCAGCAGUGGGGAAUAUUGGACAAUGGGCGCAAGCCUGAUCCAGCCAUACCGCGUGGGUGAAGAAGGCCUUCGGGUUGUAAAGCCCUUUUGUUGGGAAAGAAAAGCAGCAGGUUAAUACCCCGCUGUUCUGACGGUACCCAAAGAAUAAGCACCGGCUAACUUCGUG
Molecule: ribosomal RNA, 492 nt
Filed under: uncultured bacterium
Lineage: Bacteria
Description: partial 16S ribosomal RNA
Rfam family: Bacterial small subunit ribosomal RNA
Source: RNAcentral